CCUACGGGUGGCUGCAGUGGGGAAUAUUGCACAAUGGGGGGAACCCUGAUGCAGCGACGUCGCGUGGGUGAGGAAGUACUUCGGUAUGUUAAGCCCUAUUAGCAGGGAAGAAAAUGACGGUACCUGACUAAGAAGCCCCGGCUAAAUACGUGCCAGCAGCCGCGGUAACACGGAGGGGGCAAGCGUUAUCCGGAUUUACUGGGUGUAAAGGGAGCGUAGACGGGGUGCCAAGUCUGGUGGGAAAGGCCGGGGGUCAACCCCGGGACUGCAUUGGAAACUGGCAUGCUGGAGUGGCGGAGGGGCAAGCGGAAUGCCUGGUGUAGCGGUGAAAUGCGUAGAUAUUAGGAGGAACACCGAUGGCGAAGGCAGCUUGCUGGACGGUAACUGACGUUGAGGCUCGAAAGCGUGGGGAGCAAACAGGAUUAGAUACCCUUGUAGUC
Molecule: ribosomal RNA, 440 nt
Filed under: uncultured bacterium
Lineage: Bacteria
Description: partial 16S ribosomal RNA
Rfam family: Bacterial small subunit ribosomal RNA
Source: RNAcentral